Molecule: small RNA, 27 nt
Filed under: Bombyx mori (domestic silkworm)
Lineage: Eukaryota; Metazoa; Arthropoda; Insecta; Lepidoptera; Bombycidae
Description: ovarian small RNA-32284
Source: RNAcentral
UGAGUGGGGAAAACGUGAGUGCAGCUG